RNAcentral lists this ribosomal RNA (483 nucleotides) under uncultured bacterium. Its description in RNAcentral is "partial 16S ribosomal RNA". It matches the Rfam family "Bacterial small subunit ribosomal RNA", at positions 28 to 523 of the family's 1533-position model. The record is from RNAcentral.
GACGAACGCUGGCGGCGUGCUUAACACAUGCAAGUCGAACGAUGAAGCUGGAGCUUGCUCCGGUGGAUUAGUGGCGAACGGGUGAGUAACACGUGAGCAAUCUGCCCUUGACUCUGGGAUAACUGCGGGAAACUGUAGCUAAUACCGGAUACGACACCUUGGGGCAUCCCAGGGUGUGGAAAGAAUUUCGGUCAAGGAUGAGCUCGCGGCCUAUCAGCUAGUUGGUGAGGUAAUGGCUCACCAAGGCGACGACGGGUAGCCGGCCUGAGAGGGUGACCGGCCACACUGGAACUGGGACACGGUCCAGACUCCUACGGGAGGCAGCAGUGGGGAAUAUUGCACAAUGGGCAAAAGCCUGAUGCAGCAACGCCGCGUGAGGGAUGAAGGCCUUCGGGUUGUAAACCUCUUUUAGCAGGGAAGAAGCGAAAGUGACGGUACCUGCAGAAAAAGCACCGGCUAACUACGUGCCAGCCGCCGCCGUAA